Molecule: RNA transcript, 4611 nt
Organism: Lotus japonicus
Lineage: Eukaryota; Viridiplantae; Streptophyta; Magnoliopsida; Fabales; Fabaceae
Exons: 4
Source: RefSeq, a predicted model, not a curated record
UUUUCGUGCCUCUCUCAGACUCACACACUCUCUCUGUUUCGCUGUCAAAACGUCCUAUUCCGCUCUUUGAUUACCUCAACUUAACCCGCAGAUACAACUUCCUCGACGCCGAGUUCAUCAGCCGAAACUCGCCGCAUUUUGUCGAAUCCAUAAUGUCUAAGAUGCUGAUGAUGUUGGUCGAACAUUGAAGAAGUUUCUCAGGAUGAAGAAAUUUUUUCCUGUGCUUCCUAGAGACAAAGCUACUUCUUCGGUAAAUCUAGAAGCAUCAGAAACUCCAAGUCAGGGUAUUAAAGUUGUUGAUUAUGAAUUGUUGGAAACAGAUCCAGGAAUUAGGCCUCCAAUUUCAAGCUAUCAUCCUGACAUCCAAAAUGAGAUGUCACUUUACAUUGGUAAUAUUACUGAACGCGUUCGGGGAGAGGAACUCGAGCGUGUUUUUCGUAGAUUUGGGCAUUGUAAUGUUCGGGUGAAAAAAGAAGGCUAUGGCUUUGUGGUGUUUGACUUCCCUGAGGACGCUGAGAAAGCUUUGAGGGCACUGAAAGGUAGAAAUAUAUGCGGGGAACGGUUGGCUCUGACAUGGUCCAACAAACAGCCGAAUUCAAAUUUUACAAGAUUUGAUAGGGGUGGAAGAAGAGGUAGCUAUGAGUUGCAACGUGGGAGGGAUUCUGACAGUUUAGGCUACGCGAGGAGGAAAGAGGGUUUCAAUGGAUGGAGGAAUCGCAAGAUGGGUGAGGCUGGAAGGGGUAAAUCUGUUGAAGUGCCUGGUGAAGAGGGGGGAUAUCAUGAAGAUGAUUUCAAGGAUUACGCUGGGGAGGAAAAAGAUUAUGGGGGGAGCUUUCCAGAUGAAGGUGGUGGAGCUGUUCCUAACCUGGAGGACAAUGGUGGAUGGAACGAGCCAACUCAUGACCCAUCAGUUGACAAUGAGAAAGGAAAUUCUCUAGGAUUUGAUCGUUAUGAACCUCAUCAUGGCUAUGACCCGAAGCAUGGCAAUGGAGAUUAUCAUGUGGGUUGCUCUGGUGGUUCCCCUGCAGUUAAUUCCCAAGAGAACAUGGGCAGAGCUCAAAUUGGUGAGGAAACCUCAAAUCGUCCAAAUGAUUCCAAAUUCCGGCAAACUUGUUAUAGAUGUGGUGAAUCAGGUCAUAAAAUGCGAAAUUGUCCGAAAGAGCAUUCUUCAGGGAGAAAAUAUGACUGGUCGGAUGUUGGGCAGAAUAGUAGAAUUAACCAGGAUCAUAGAGUUGAAGAUGACAAUAAAAUUGGAUCUGGUUCCUUGGUGAAGCUGCAGUCAAGUGGGGAUACUUUAUCAAUGAGGCGCCAGAGAGGUACAAGGAUGUCUGGUUCUCGACAUAACCGAGCACUAUCUAGAAAAGAGUCACCACCACCUGUAAUAAAUGAAACUGAUAGGCAUCGAAGAAGGGAGUAUGGAAGAAAGAAGCGAAGCAGAAAUGAAAGUGAAUCACCAACCAGAUCUUGGGCAAAGAUAUCAAAGUGGUCCGACUCAUCCCCUGUGCCUGCAGAUUACUCUGCAUCUCGCUCACUCUCAAAUUCUCAAUCAUCCAAGUCAUUGGCCAGGCCUACUUCCAAAUAUAGAUCAAGAUCAGGGUCUUCUAGAGCACAUUCGUCAUCCUCAAAGUUAAGCUCUUCGUCAAAAUCACGGACUUAUAGAGGCAAAAGUUUGAAUUCUAGGAGGUCAAGCUCCCCUACAUCUGUAUCACUUAACAAGCCUUUAUCGUCGAUUCCAACUAAAUUCCAGUUGAAUGCAAAAAGCUCAUCCAUUAAUGGUACUGCAUGUGAGAAUGUGGAUCAUUUGGUUUCACAGGGACAGCAGAUUGGCAGCACAAUGGGAUUGGAGUAUCCUCAAAUACAAUCCAAGGAUACAUGCAUUGCUGUCAAUGGAAAAGCUGCUGUAGACACCACAGUGGUGGAUGCCAUGGAAAAGGAACUAUGUAUGCCGGAGGACAAUAAUGAAAAUUGUACUCUCGUAAACCCAUCUGAUGGAGUGGCAAAUUUAUCCCAGCCAGUUGCUGAGAAAUUGUCUCCAUUAAUAAUGAAAGAGACAGAGGGCUUUCCACAUUCUGGAACAUCAAUGGUGGAUGAUAUUCCAGCAGAAACUCAGAAGCUAGCUUCUGAAACUCAUGUUAAUCCCCAUUCUGGCCGUUCAACCAUCAUAUCCACAGAGGAAAUGUGCAUGGUUCUCAAUAACUAUGGCCUGGAACUUCCAAACGAUUAUGAAAAAAGUUCCACAACAGAGGCCUUCUUUGGUGCUGCUCGGUUGUGGCCUUGGCAUAUUGUUUAUUACCGUAGGUUGAAGAAGGGCCCAAUUUCAACUGAGAACUAUGCCAGGCGGGUUGCUCAGAAUCAGGAAUUUGGCAUUGCUGAUAAGUAUAUAAGAAGCAGUAGUGGAUGGGAAGAAUUCAGUCUUGAGAACCUUAACAGUUAAUACUGCUACAAAUGAUGCUCUGCUGGUUCAUUUAUCCUCACAGGAGCUAUGAGUCUAUGAUGUUUCUUCUUUCCACAUGGCUCUCAAUGGAAUUCAUAUGUGAUUCUCAGUGGUUAUUUUCAAGAAGUUUGCUCAGGAGGGUUGUUGGAAGCUCGCCAAAUUGUCAUCGGAGGCGCUGCGGUGGCCGGUCGAUGGUAACACGGUGGCUGGUUGAUGGGUAUGCAGAAAGAAUCGACUCCCAGCAUGAAGAUGUAAAAGCAAGCGUCUGUCAACUUCUCAGUUUUUUUUCACAUUUAUCGAGAAGUUAAACCAAGAUUAUCCCAACUAAUGGCCCUAACGCAGAAGUUAUGAGGGUAUUUUUUGUCUGUAUCAAACCUUUUCCACGUAGCGGCUUUGAAUUUGCAUGCAAAAGCAGCUGUGGAAGCCGCGAUGGUAAAACGCUCCACGAUGGGAAGCAUUGUAGCAGCCUGGGACCGCUCUGCUGUGUGACAGCGUGAUUGCACAAAGCGGGCAAUUAACAACCCUGAGUAUACUAUAAUUAUUAAAUGACCUUUUGAACUUGAAAAUUUAAAUCCUCAAACAUAAAGUAAAUGCAUCUCAACAUGCUACAAAUAUGUAAAAAGUAAAUUAUCCUAUUUUCCUGAGCCAUUAUAUUCAAUUUUUAUGCAGCUGUUUGUCGCUCUGUUGUUUUUGAAUAAUUACUUAAAAUGUUUCUGUUUUUGCUCUCUGGUCUUCAUUUUAGCUUAUUAACUAGUGCUAUAAUGUAUUAGUAUAUUUGUUUGUGGCUUCUAUAGUGUUUUGAGCAAUGAUAGGCACACACACAAAGACACUUCACGCCACAUUCUAUCCAAGUAUGAAAGUUAUUUAACUAGCAAUCUACCUCGAAGUAGCCAAGGAGUCUAUAGCAAGAAAUUUGAUUAAUAUGAGAAGUUAAAUGGUUAAUGAUGCUUAAGUUAUUGAUUUAAUAAGCUUAAUACUUGUUAAGUGGAAGUGAUAUUUUAGGGGUCAUGAUUCAAGUCAACUUGCUCCCAUGAGGAAACGUUCUAAUCUGUUAUAUUGUGAUGAAGUAACACUUGCAAAAAAUAAGUGAAAUUUUCCAAUACACCUGAAAAUUUUGAUUCCAGUAAUUUGGUUCAGUUGCUCUUCCAAUUGAGUGGAUUAUUGACAAAGUAUAAGCCUUCUUCCAGUCUACUGUUUGUCUUUCUGUAGGGGAGUUCUGACAGGAUUCAUAAAUUGCGAGCUUUGCAUUCAUAGAGUAGCCUCUUAAGCCUUUUGGUAUUUAUUAGAUUAGUUGGCCAUGUAUCAAUAUUGUAAAGCCUGAGGAAAAAAAAAGGUAGAAAACCAUGGUUGACAUCAAUUAAUAUCUGAAACAAGUACCAGGUUACCCUUUUUUCUAAUAGCAAAACAAAGUUAAUAUGUUAUUCUUUCUGGGUCUGCAUCAAACGGUUAACAUGUCUUGCACGAUUGAGAGCCUAUCUUACUGAAAUUUAGUCAUUCCUGAAAAGCUACAAAGCUGCCAUGUCUGAUAAUAUUCAUCUUUAAGCAUGUUAUCAGUUGUAUGUGGCAAUUGGCACAUUAUGGAUUUUCCAUCACGUGAUAAAGUUUGGUCUUUAUAAGCUGCAAUUGAGUAUGAUUCACUCAGGAAACUGGACAACCAAGUUAAUUUUAUGGAUAUGAAUGUAAAAAUCUGCCUUUUUCUUUUCUUGGGUUGUAAGGGGGGUGGAGUAAGGAAAAAAAUAUCUUGUUCUUCAUUCUAUUAUGUUGAUAGACAACCACUAAACACUCAUUUGUUGUGAAAGUCAAGUGAGUUUGAAGUCCCACAUUGGGUGGAAGUGAAAGUGUUGAAGAGUAUAUAAGAGGUAAAGACCCACAACAAACCCAAUGCCUUAAGGUUUUAAGGUUUUGGGUAAAGAUGUGGUGUCCAUCUCUUGAUGGUCUUUUUUGUUAGUCCAGUGUGGUGUGCGGAGAGACCUCCAUGCCUCAUGACUCAACCUCAUUGACGGACUUUCUGACUUGAACUGGGUUCUUUAACUUUUUCUUGUUGUUAGUAAUUAUUUUCACUUGAAAUGUUCUGACUUCUUGAGCUACUAGAUACUUCAAUUCUCUUUUUAGCAAUUGACAAUGGAUUUGUAUCCACCUGUGUCUCAUUACCAUCUCAUUGGAGAUUGAGAAAUGAG